RNAcentral lists this ribosomal RNA (543 nucleotides) under uncultured bacterium. Its description in RNAcentral is "bacterial SSU rRNA". It matches the Rfam family "Bacterial small subunit ribosomal RNA", at positions 352 to 896 of the family's 1533-position model. The record is from RNAcentral.
CAGUAAGGAAUAUUGGACAAUGGGCGAGAGCCUGAUCCAGCCAUGCCGCGUGCAGGAAGAAGGCCCUAUGGGUCGUAAACUGCUUUUGAACGAGAGAAAACCCGAGUACGUGUACUCGGCUGAUAGUAUCGUUAGAAUAAGCAUCGGCUAACUUCGUGCCAGCAGCCGCGGUAAGACGAAGGAUGCAAGCGUUAUCCGGAUUCAUUGGGUUUAAAGGGAGCGUAGGCGGACUUGUAAGUCAGUGGUGAAAUCUGUGGGCUUAACCCACAACCUGCCACUGAUACUGCAGGUCUAGAGUACAGUUGCCGUUGGCGGAAUAUGACAUGUAGUGGUGAAAUACUUAGAUAUGUCAUAGAACACCGAUUGCGAAGGCAGCUAACGAAGCUGUAACUGACGCUGAGGCUCGAAAGUGCGGGGAUCAAACAGGAUUAGAUACCCUGGUAGUCCGCACUGUAAACGAUGAUUACUCGUUGCUGGGGAGCAAUUUCCAGUGACCAAGCGAAAGUGAUAAGUAAUCCACCUGGGGAGUACGCCGGCAACGUG